AUUCCAGCUCCAAUAGCGUAUAUUAAAGUUGUUGCAGUUAAAAAGCUCGUAGUUGGAUUUCUGGUGGGAGCGAUCGGUCUGGCGCUUAGCGCGAGUACUUGCAUCGUCUCCGGCCAUCCUUGGGGAGAGUUUGUCUGGCAUUAAGUUGUCGGGCAGAGGAUCCUCAUCGUUUACUGUGAAAAAAUUAGAGUGUUCAAAGCAGGCUUAUGCCGUUGAAUAUAUUAGCAUGGAAUAAUAAGAUAGGACUUUGGUACUAUUUUGUUGGUUUCUAGAGCUGAGGUAAUGAUUAAUAGGGAUAGUUGGGGGCAUUCGUAUUUAACUGUCAGAGGUGAAAUUCUUGGAUUUGUUAAAGACGGACUACUGCGGAAGCAUCUGCCAUGGAUGUUUUCAUUG
Molecule: ribosomal RNA, 393 nt
Filed under: Arcocellulus sp.
Lineage: Eukaryota; Bacillariophyta; Thalassiosirophyceae; Cymatosirales; Cymatosiraceae
Description: partial small subunit ribosomal RNA
Rfam family: Eukaryotic small subunit ribosomal RNA
Source: RNAcentral